UGGCUCCCAUUGAACCCCAAAGGCUGCCAGGUCAACCCCAUGGCUCCCAUUGAACCCCAAAGGCUGCCAGGUCAACCCCAUGGCUCCCAUUGAACCCCAAAGGCUGCCAGGUCAACCCCAUGGCUCCCAUUGAACCCCACAGGCUGCCAG
Molecule: long non-coding RNA, 150 nt
Organism: Cuculus canorus (common cuckoo)
Lineage: Eukaryota; Metazoa; Chordata; Aves; Cuculiformes; Cuculidae
Exons: 3
Source: RefSeq, a predicted model, not a curated record